AGGUUAACCGCAUAGGGGAGCCGUAGGGAAACCGAGUCUUAACUGGGCGACAGUUGCUUGCAUUAGACCCGAAACCGAGUGAUCUAGCCAUGGGCAGGUUGAAGGUUGAGUAACAUCAACUGGAGGACCGAACUCACUAACGUUGAAAAGUUAGGAGAUGACCUGUGGCUAGGGGUGAAAGGCCAAUCAAACUCGGAGAUAGCUGGUUCUCCCCGAAAGCUAUUUAGGUAGCGCCUCGGACGAACACUACUGGGGGUAGAGCACUGUUAAGGCUAGGGGGUCAUCCCGACUUACCAACCCUUUGCAAACUCCGAAUACCAGUAAGUGCUAUCCGGGAGACACACGGCGGGUGCUAACGUCCGUCGUGGAGAGGGAAACAACCCAGACCGCCAGCUAAGGUCCCCAAGUUAUCGCUAAGUGGGAAACGAUGUGGGAAGGCUCAGACAGCCAGGAUGUUGGCUUAGAAGCAGCCAUCAUUUAAAGAAAGCGUAAUAGCUCACUGGUCGAGUCGGCCUGCGCGGAAGAUGUAACGGGGCUAAGCGAUACACCGAAGCUGCGGCAAUGNGGAGAGGGAAACAACCCAGACCGCCAGCUAAGGUCCCCAAGUUAUCGCUAAGUGGGAAACGAUGUGGGAAGGCUCAGACAGCCAGGAUGUUGGCUUAGAAGCAGCCAUCAUUUAAAGAAAGCGUAAUAGCUCACUGGUCGAGUCGGCCUGCGCGGAAGAUGUAACGGGGCUAAGCGAUACACCGAAGCUGCGGCAAUGUCCUUAUGGAUAUUGGGUAGGGGAGCGUUGUGUAAGCYGUUGAAGGUGWGCUGAGAGGCWUGCUGGAGGUAUCACAAGUGCGAAUGCUGACAUGAGUAACGAUAAAGGGGGUGAAAAACCUCCUCGCCGGAAGACCAAGGGUUCCUGUCCAACGUUAAUCGGGGCAGGGUAAGUCGGCCCCUAAGGCGAGGCCGAAAGGCGUAGUCGA
Molecule: ribosomal RNA, 971 nt
Filed under: Salinivibrio kushneri
Lineage: Bacteria; Pseudomonadati; Pseudomonadota; Gammaproteobacteria; Vibrionales; Vibrionaceae
Description: bacterial LSU rRNA
Rfam family: Bacterial large subunit ribosomal RNA
Source: RNAcentral